GACAGAGGGUGCAAACGUUGCUCGGAAUCACUGGGCGUAAAGGGCGCGUAGGCGGACAAGUAAGUCGGGCGUGAAAUCCCUAGGCUCAACCUAGGAACUGCACUCGAAACUGCAUGUCUUGAGUACCGGAGAGGAAAGCGGAAUACCUGGUGUAGAGGUGAAAUUCGUAGAUAUCAGGUGGAACACCAGUGGCGAAGGCGGCUUUUUGGACGGUAACUGACGCUGAGGCGCGAAAGCGUGGGGAGCAAACAGG
This 253-nucleotide ribosomal RNA is filed under the name uncultured bacterium. RNAcentral's name for it is "partial 16S ribosomal RNA". It matches the Rfam family "Bacterial small subunit ribosomal RNA", at positions 524 to 776 of the family's 1533-position model. The record is from RNAcentral.